ACCAAAUUCGACACAAUUGCUCUGGCAGGAUUUUUUAACUUAGAUGCAUGUAUAUAAUCUUAGGAUUUGAAGAAUUUGAUUCCAGAAUCCGAGUUUAGUUUUCAGACAUCAACGUCAGUGAUGUUCCCAAA
Long non-coding RNA from Contarinia nasturtii (swede midge), 131 nucleotides. RefSeq lists it as uncharacterized. The transcript is spliced from 2 exons. Lineage: Eukaryota; Metazoa; Arthropoda; Insecta; Diptera; Cecidomyiidae. The record is from RefSeq and is a predicted model, not a curated record.